UUCUUAGUUUAUUUUGUUCAUGAGAUUCCACACAUAAGUGAAGUCAUAUGGUACUUGUGUUACUCAGACUGGUUUACUUCCCUUAACAUAAUACUCUGCAGGUCUAUCUAUGCUGUCUUAA
Molecule: long non-coding RNA, 121 nt
Organism: Phyllostomus discolor (pale spear-nosed bat)
Lineage: Eukaryota; Metazoa; Chordata; Mammalia; Chiroptera; Phyllostomidae
Exons: 3
Source: RefSeq, a predicted model, not a curated record